UACGGAGGGGGCUAGCGUUGUUCGGAAUUACUGGGCGUAAAGCGCACGUAGGCGGACUGUUAAGUCGGGGGUGAAAUCCUGGGGCUCAACCUCAGAAUUGCCUCCGAUACUGGCAGUCUCGAGUGCGGGAGAGGUGAGUGGAAUUCCCAGUGUAGAGGUGAAAUUCGUAGAUAUUGGGAAGAGCACCAGUGGCGAAGGCGGCUCACUGGCCCGUAACUGACGCUGAGGUGCGAAAGCGUGGGGAGCAAACAGG
This 253-nucleotide ribosomal RNA is filed under the name uncultured bacterium. RNAcentral describes it as "partial 16S ribosomal RNA". It matches the Rfam family "Bacterial small subunit ribosomal RNA", at positions 524 to 776 of the family's 1533-position model. The record is from RNAcentral.